Molecule: long non-coding RNA, 3894 nt
Organism: Xyrauchen texanus (razorback sucker)
Lineage: Eukaryota; Metazoa; Chordata; Actinopteri; Cypriniformes; Catostomidae
Exons: 3
Source: RefSeq, a predicted model, not a curated record
UUUGAAGUGUUUCUAUUUUGUACAGUUUUAAUACUAAUGUAGAUACGGUUGCGAUACAAUGAGAGAAGUAAUGCUUUCACAUAGUUACGUUUGUAUGUAGUUUUCAUAUGUGUUGACUUCAAUGUUAAACUGUUUAAACAAAGAUGUUUUUUAUUCCAUUUAACUCCGUGCAAUUAUAGUAAUUAAAGCAAAUAAAAGCACAAAAUGUGCAUUAUUUGCAUUUGGAACAUGCUUAAACAUAUUCCCUUUUGCAUUAAAUGAAUAGAUUUUUUUGGAAAGGCAUUUUUAUCAUCACAAAGUGCUUACACUUGCGGACAAGCCCAAAAUAAACGUGUAACCAGUUUCAGGGGCAUUUCCAACUCACUGGCGUCACUUAUCGCUUUGUACGUUUACAGUGCGGCCGAAAGCGCUUUUUCACAGGAAAUGCCACGUGUAACAAGUGCGCAUGCGUGAUGUCAGAGCUCUAAUCGGAAGCUGCUCGAUUAUCAGCAGUAGUAAAAAAAAAAAUAAAAAAAAUUAUCAGCAGUAGCGGAGGAAUGGCCGGAGACGCGGGCCUGUGAUCCACACGCCCGACACCCAUUUCAGCUCUCGGAGAGUCCGGAAAGUGCGAUUCAUUCUAAUUCUAAGUUCGAUCAGACUAAUUUGCGCGAUUUUCACGAUGUCCAGCGCUGGAGCGACAUGCUAACGACAAGACGUCUAUUUUUGCAGCUGCUCAGUUACGAGCACAAAUCCUUGCUUAUGAGUACGAAUCAAAAAGUGCAAAACGGCUGUCAAAAUUACGUCACAGCCAUUGCUAAAAGACUGGAAGAUAAAUCGAUCUGUCACAGUGCGCAUGCGUGCCCCUGAAUCUCACCUAGUGGGGGAUGGGCAGUCAUUUGAACCUCAUCGCGGCAAAAUGGCAGACGAACAAGGACGCUCUCACACACCCACUCAGGGACCAUUGAUGAUGCACCUACUGGAACGCCUCAGGUCAACGUUAAUGGGCAUUUUAGAUGGACAUCAGUUAGAUCUUGACUAUUGUAACUACAUCAUUAACCAAGAAGUUUUUAUUCUGACAUCUGCCUCCACAGUAAUGGAUGUACCAAAUUACAUUUUGGAGGAACUUCUGAGUCUAUAAACAAAAAUUCACACAACACUUUCGCAAGAGGCUCCCCCAAUUCUGAUCAGAGAGUUUGCUUGUGGACGAGGCCGACCCAAGUACAUUUUGUCAGAGGAACUGCUGGGCAGACUCAUUGACAUGUCUUUACCAAUCUCCUGCAUUUCUAACAUCUUAGGAGUCAGCCAGUCAACCAUCUUCUGCCGAAUGCGUGAAUUAGGUUUGUCUACCAAAACGAACUAUAGCACCCUGUCGGACCAGGAAUUGGAUAAUGUCAUUUUGGACAUCAAAAGAAGAAUACCAAAUGCAGGGUAUAGGAUGGUGAAAGGUUGCCUGCAAGCAGACGGACACAAAGUACAGUGGAACCGCAUAAAGGAGUCCAUGCACAGGGUUGAUGCACCUGGCAUUAGAAAGAAUGACACAGCUGGGGUGCAUUGUCAGGAGGUCAUAUUUUGUACAAUUCCAUCUAUUUACAUUUUAUUAUUAUUGUUCAUUAUAGAAAAAUGCUAAUGAUUAUAUUAACAACAUUUUUUUUACUUCCCUGAGAACAAGAACUGCAUAAAUAGUUAACUUCAAUAAUGUAACGUUCUCUAAAGUUAUACAUUAUCAAAGCACUCUCCGUGUCUUAAAGCCAUUUACAUAAUAUCUUUGAAGUUGUCAAAUGUUGUCAGGUGAGCUGUAGGAAAGGUAACUGUGCGAGUCCAUGCACUCACAGUGGGAAAACAAACAGUUUGGUUUGGGUCACAGUCAUGAAAGAACCUUGCAGUGAUGCUGAAUUCCUUCUUGUCACUAGGAAGAAUUGGCCGGUGUCUUUGACCUGUCAUCCACUGCAUUAUUUUACCCACAGUUAUUUCUUCAGUAGCUUCACCUUGUUCUUAAAAAUAGAUAAACAGUUAGCAUUAAAUAAACAAGAUUAACAGAUUAAUUUGAUCUUAUAGAGCAGUGUUUUUUAACUAGAGUACUGAGGACCCCCCUCCCAAACAGUUUUAGAUGACUCACUAAUCAAAACAACUGAUUAAACUCAUCAGUUUGUUAGGCUUUGGGGUCCCCAGGGCUGGAGUUUAGAAACAUCAGUAUAAACAUACCAUUGUCUUCAAUUUCCUGAAAAAAAUUCAUGGUUUUAAUUUCCUUCAUGUAUUUCACAGAACCUUUGUUGCUAAGGACAGGGUUGCAGUUCUCCAGAAUGAAGGCUGCAUCUAACCAUACAUUUUAAAUAAGACUUCCGUAUACCCCUUUGGGAUUUAAGAGCUAAGACUGCCUGAUGAUGUUGCUCUUCUUGUCAACAGACACUUGUCCAGUGUAUCCACAGCCUAAAAUUUCAUCAGUUAGGUUACUUAAGUCAUCUGUUGAGUUGUUAAUCUGAAAGCAUCGAAUUAGAGUUAAUUAGCAUAAGGGAUAAAUCGCUCAAAUUUUGCGAAGCUAUUGGUGCAAUCACUUAAUGUAGUAAUUACAAGAUUCUGACUUGUGCUGUGGUGGAAUUUCUCCAAUUCUGUGGAUUCCUAUCAUAGAAAUAAUCUACACUUCAUUAAACAUUCAAAACCUGACCAAAGGAAUUAUAAUGUCCCUUAAUACUUUGCAUCUUACUGCAAACACCAGUGGAGCCCAAAACUUGUCUUAAUAAACUCCUGGUACCGGAGUAAUCAGAUCAAAGCUCGGAACAUUUUACACCGGUCUCUGCCAUUCAAGCUGAUGCUCUCACCAGCGUAAUACAACUCAGUCCCAGACUGAGAGGUCGGUGGUGUCCCACCUAGCAACCACUCACACUCUUUCUUCCCUGCAAGAUCUGCGUAUAUUGCAUGUAUAUUAUAGAAGACACUACUUGUUCGACUGGAGUCCUGUGGAUUAAAGGAGACUUUUGGACUGUCAAAAAUGGGUUGCUGUAUAUUUGCAUUGGACUAUUAUUAAUUCAAUUUUUAUUCUGAUGAUGAAAAUGUCACAUAGCAAAUUUUUAUUUUGGUUGAACUUGACAGUAAACACCCACUGUUCUGAUUGGCUCUCUGCUAUUGACUGGCCUGCUCGAUCACUGGUAAUGGACAGGGCUAGAGAAUAGCAGGAAGAACAAGCCAGCUUUCUUUCAAUAAAUGCUCUUUUUGCAGUGGAGGAGGAAAUUUGGAGUUCUAAAAUGUACAGGAAGUUUUAUAGUACAAUGACACUUCAUAUGUCUAAAGAUAAUGGAAAAUUGGAUUCCUUGUAAAAAGCAGUGAGAACUCAAGAUCUGUGACAUCACUGGUAGACACUUAUAUGCGGUCACAAUCUCCAGAGCAGAGAUAUCGAAAGCACCACUCACGUAUAAAAGCAGGAGGUCCACCUUGUGCCAGGCUGAGUGCCAUGAUUUCUCCAGCACUCCUAAUAGAACAAUGAAGGGAACAAAACAUAAAAUAAGAUUCUAGGCAACCCUCUUCCUCAAAAUGUAGGUUGGUAAGAAAGAAAGAAAAUGCAGAAUGAAUUCCCAUGGUUGAUUAAUAAAGCUCUAAAUGUAAACGUAUGCAUGGAGAAGAUAUGAUAACUCGUUUGUAGAAUGGAUCAAAUUUGAAGCAGAAAAACCAACCCAAGUGGUCCUAAGUGCAGGACUACAAUGUAAAGGAGUGUACUGAAGAAGAUCAAAACCAUACAUUUUAAUGUGGACCAACUGCCAUGUCUGGUGUGUUGCAAGAUUACUUGUCCUAUUUCCAGUACUUGAGAGCAGUUUUUCUCUAGAGUAUUACAUAAAUUGUACAGUUAUUUUUAGUAUAUUACAAUAUAUGUUUAAGAGUUCAAAAUAAGGUGUGUAUUGUUAAGUGACUUGUUAUGGACUCAAC